Molecule: long non-coding RNA, 254 nt
Filed under: Capra hircus (goat)
Lineage: Eukaryota; Metazoa; Chordata; Mammalia; Artiodactyla; Bovidae
Description: lncRNA (ENSCHIG00000001119.1)
Source: RNAcentral
AAGAGAGUUACUGCUUGCUCUUCAGUUUCCCAGGUCCUCCGUGUGUGCUUUGAAGCAAUAUGAAUGUGUCGUCUAAAGAAUCAUUGUGGGAAAUACCAAGGCCUGCAGAGUCAAGGCUCCCGGAGUCCUGCCCCGUCUCAUACUCAGCGCGGGUCUACAAGAGCUACCAGUCUCAACAGCAGACCUGCUGCUAUUCCGUAUCUUAAAUAUCAUGAGACAAGCCUUUCAGUGUUUUGUUAAAUACGUAUUUCCCC